GUGCAGCAGGCGAGAAACCUCCCCAAUGCCCGAAAGGGUGAGGGGGUCACCCCGAGUGCCACCCUCGUGGUGGCUUUUGCGGGGUCUAAAAGCCCCGCGAAUAAGGGGAGGGCAAGACGGGUGUCAGCCGCCGCGGUAAUACCCGCUCCCCGAGUGGUGGGGACUAUUACUGGGCUUAAAGCGUCCGUAGCCGGCUGGGUGUGUCCCCCGUUAAAUCCACGGGCCUAACCCGUGGGCUGCGGGGGAUACUACCUGGCUUGGGGGUGGGAGAGGGCGGCGGUAUUCCCGGGGUAGGGGUAAAAUCCUCUGAUCCCGGGAGGACCACCAGUGGCGUAGGCGGCCGCCCAGAACACGCCCGACGGUGAGGGACGAAAGCUGGGGGAGC
Molecule: ribosomal RNA, 385 nt
Filed under: uncultured microorganism
Description: bacterial SSU rRNA
Rfam family: Archaeal small subunit ribosomal RNA
Source: RNAcentral